AGUCGAGCGAGUCUGCCUUGAAGAUCGGAGUGCUUGCACUCUGUGAAACAAGAUACAGGCUAGCGGCGGACGGGUGAGUAACACGUGGGUAACCUGCCCAAGAGAUCGGGAUAACACCUGGAAACAGAUGCUAAUACCGGAUAACAACAGAUGAUGCCUAUCAACUGUUUAAAAGAUGGUUCUGCUAUCACUCUUGGAUGGACCUGCGGUGCAUUAGCUAGUUGGUAGGGUAACGGCCUACCAAGGCGAUGAUGCAUAGCCGAGUUGAGAGACUGAUCGGCCACAUUGGGACUGAGACACGGCCCAAACUCCUACGGGAGGCAGCAGUAGGGAAUCUUCCACAAUGGACGCAAGUCUGAUGGAGCAACGCCGCGUGAGUGAAGAAGGGCUUCGGCUCGUAAAGCUCUGUUGUUGGUGAAGAAGGACAGGGGUAGUAACUGACCUUUGUUUGACGGUAAUCAAUUAGAAAGUCACGGCUAACUACGUGCCAGCAGCCGCGGUAAUACGUAGGUGGCAAGCGUUGUCCGGAUUUAUUGGGCGUAAAGCGAGUGCAGGCGGCUCGAUAAGUCUGAUGUGAAAGCCUUCGGCUCAACCGGAGGAUUGCAUCAGAAACUGUCGAGCUUGAGUACAGAAGAGGAGAGUGGAACUCCAUGUGUAGCGGUGAAAUGCGUAGAUAUAUGGAAGAACACCGGUGGCGAAGGCGGCUCUCUGGUCUGUUACUGACGCUGAGGCUCGAAAGCAUGGGUAGCGAACAGGAUUAGAUACCCUGGUAGUCCAUGCCGUAAACGAUGAGUGCUAAGUGUUGGGAGGUUUCCGCCUCUCAGUGCUGCA
Molecule: ribosomal RNA, 831 nt
Filed under: uncultured bacterium
Lineage: Bacteria
Description: bacterial SSU rRNA
Rfam family: Bacterial small subunit ribosomal RNA
Source: RNAcentral